UGCCAAUGAUGUCUUUUCUCACGAUGGUCUUCCAAGCUAAUGGAGCUUUGACGACACUGCCUUUUGGCAUAACUGAUGCAGCUUG
This is a small nucleolar RNA of Lampris incognitus (smalleye Pacific opah), 85 nucleotides long. RefSeq annotates it as small nucleolar RNA SNORD35. The transcript has a single exon. The record is from RefSeq and is a predicted model, not a curated record. Lineage: Eukaryota; Metazoa; Chordata; Actinopteri; Lampriformes; Lampridae.